This 508-nucleotide ribosomal RNA is filed under the name uncultured bacterium. RNAcentral describes it as "bacterial SSU rRNA". It matches the Rfam family "Bacterial small subunit ribosomal RNA", at positions 1002 to 1509 of the family's 1533-position model. The record is from RNAcentral.
AGAGAUGCUUUAGUGCCUUCGGGAACUCUGAGACAGGUGCUGCAUGGCUGUCGUCAGCUCGUGUUGUGAAAUGUUGGGUUAAGUCCCGNAACGAGCGCAACCCUUAUCCUUUGUUGCCAGCACGUAAUGGUGGGAACUCAAAGGAGACUGCCGGUGAUAAACCGGAGGAAGGUGGGGAUGACGUCAAGUCAUCAUGGCCCUUACGAGUAGGGCUACACACGUGCUACAAUGGCGCAUACAAAGAGAAGCGACCUCGCGAGAGCAAGCGGACCUCAUAAAGUGCGUCGUAGUCCGGAUUGGAGUCUGCAACUCGACUCCAUGAAGUCGGAAUCGCUAGUAAUCGUAAAUCAGAAUGUUACGGUGAAUACGUUCCCGGGCCUUGUACACACCGCCCGUCACGCCAUGGGAGUGGGUUGCAAAAGAAGUAGAUAGCUUAACCUUCGGGAGGGCGUUUACCACUUUGUGAUUCAUGACUGGGGUGAAGUCGUAACAAGGUAGGCGUAGUGCU